Molecule: long non-coding RNA, 1321 nt
Organism: Gadus macrocephalus (Pacific cod)
Lineage: Eukaryota; Metazoa; Chordata; Actinopteri; Gadiformes; Gadidae
Exons: 2
Source: RefSeq, a predicted model, not a curated record
GCCUUUGCAACUAAGCAAAUUGAAAUUCAGUUGGAAGUAUAUCAGGGCCUUGAAUGGGCAGUUUAGCAUUUAAAACAUUAAGGCCAAGUGAAAACUGCUCAGAAAAAUCCAAAUUCUUUGACAUAUAGCAACUUUCUUUUUUUACAGUAACGCAAAUAGUUACUUUCCCUGGUAAGUAGUUACUUUUAUUAUAGAGUAAUUCAGUUACUAACCCAGUUACUUUUUGGAACAAGUAGAUAAUUACUUUUUUAAAGUAACGUUCCCAACACUGCCUAACACACACAGAGAUGUGUGGGACACUUGUUAUUUUGCACAAGCUCGAUCAGGCAUACAGUGACUCACCAGAAGGGAAAGUAUGGAAGGAAUUCAGCAGGCUCUGCAUAACCAUGUCUGGGUUAAACCCUCUGUUGUUGGCCCCGGACCCCUGCAUGCAUGGCGAUUGGUCGAGAUUGUUCAGUGAAACAGUUGUUAUUCUUCACUUAAUGGUUCUGCUGGGAAGGCCACACUACGCGCCGGACAUAUCUGGAAUAGCUUCCUGUGCGCGGUUUUGUCAAGAAGAUUAAAAAGAACAGUGGAGGGAAUCACAACAACAGGAGGCAGCGGAGGUACGGAGGCGUGCCGUCAUUCCACAACAACAGGAGGCAGUGGAGGUAUGGGGGUCUUCGGUCAUUCCACAACAACAGCUUCCUAUCGGCCCCGGUCUUUUCCUGACGUGGCGCUGGUCACGUUGUUCCCUGGGAAGAAGGUACCGUCAGGAGGACGUGGUCCGGGCCGCCCAGAAGGUUCCCACGAUCUCCUGACCUUCCUCCCAUGGAUGCUGCUUGCUCACAGCUCCAGAACAGGAAGUCUGUCCCCGAUUUCCACCAAGGGAAGUCCAAGUUGAGUUUGUAAUCACAGCCUCCAAGAAUGGCUCAGAGAAUGUUGCAAACUAAUGCUGCCAUCCAAGCGGGUUUCCCCUUUUUGGAUUUAGUUAAAUUUAUAUGAAAACAUUGCGAUUUUGACCCGAUCUAACAUCUUUAGUUGGUUUUUAAGGUUGUUAUUGUGGAAAACAUGCACUAUAUUUGACCACUUUGUGUCUUGUUUUUAUGUGUAUUUAAAUUCAAUCAAUGUAUCUAUUACGUUCCUUAGAUAAGUUUUAAUCGUCUGCUUAAAAAUAUGUAUAUAUUUAUCUCUAUGUGUGUGUCGCUAUCUCAUAACUGCUUCAGGAUAGGAGAUAAUUAUUAUAGAACCUUAACAUAUUUUCAUCAUAUCUUUUUGGGACGGUAUGAACCUGAAACCAUGAUUUGGUAUUUGUGUGUGCUUGUAUUAAAGGUACAGUGUG